UAUGCAACAGUAGCCUCUCAAAUAGCUUUAGUCUCAGUAUGUGAGUCUCCAUGGCAAGGCGUAGGGCCUAUGUCUUAAGCAAUAAUUUUGGUCAGAUAAUUGCAAUGUUCCCUUUCUUCCAGACUGGUCACAUACAGGUAUUGCAUAAAACUUCAGCCAGAGGCAUCAUCCAUUCCAAGGAGGAUCCUUUGAACAGAGUCUGCUCCUGCUAGUAGGCUUUACAUGAGCUCCUAUGAACCUGAUGGCUGGAAGACCAGCUGGCUCCAUCUGGUGUAGAUGGUCCCAGAGCCAGAGAGAAGCUGUGGUGCAGUGCUAACUGCAUUGCAAGCCCUGUGAUGAUGGACAGUGAGCCAGGAGCUAGUGCCAACUGAUGCCUAGUAGCUGACCUUGUGGCUUGCUGAACAUUCCUGGAUUUAUCUGGAGAAGAAUCAUGAUCAGAUUCCCAGUGGUGAAGAGUAUGCCUUCAUUCAACAAUUUAGCUUCCCAAGAAAAAUACACCUGCAGCUAUGAGGAGCCUUGCUCGAGCAUGCAAGCCUUCUGUUUCAUGAACAACAUUAGAGGGCACUUCUGCAUUGUGGUCGGCUUAAGCCAAAGAAAGGCAGAAGCCUGACCUUACCAGCUGAAUUGUUCUUGAAUUCAGAGGCAACGUGAAAUCUGUUUCAGCUUCACCCAGAUUAAGAACUUAUUCUGUAGACAACCUCUUUGAUCUCAUUAAAGCUGCUGCUGGACCUGCUGUGAGGGAAGCUGGGGACUCAUUCUUUAUGAGGAGGUGAGUGGCCAGGGCAGUGAGGCUGAGAUGUGGGCUCCCCUCCUGCCCCACAUUCCCAUGUUCCUGCAUCCAAGAAACCCUGUCCCUGUGAGCUCCCACAUGGUUCUAGGGGUGCUGAAUCAGAGGCAGCUGUGAGAGCUGUAUUGCAGGAUGCAACAGGCAUUACAGUUUUGACAGCUUUACUUUUUUUUUUUUUUUUUUAAUUUAUUUUUUUAGUCUUUCUGCAUGUGAUGCUCUUGUAUCUUCUGUUGACAAAGGCACGUGAUUAGUUUAUAAUCUCUGUUUUCACUGAAAGAAAAACAAACAGCUUUCUAACCUGUGUAAUUGUAGACAAAAGCUUGAAAAGGAGAUUC
This is a non-coding RNA of Anas platyrhynchos (mallard), 1122 nucleotides long. NCBI's taxonomy places the organism in Eukaryota, Metazoa, Chordata, Aves, Anseriformes, Anatidae. The record is from RefSeq and is a predicted model, not a curated record.